This 1821-nucleotide long non-coding RNA is filed under the name Capra hircus (goat). RNAcentral describes it as "lncRNA (ENSCHIG00010007216.1)". The record is from RNAcentral. Lineage: Eukaryota; Metazoa; Chordata; Mammalia; Artiodactyla; Bovidae.
AUGGGAAAGAAAGCUAAUGAGCCUCUCUCUUUUUUAUUAGCACUGCCCUAUCUGAGGCCAAAGGGGCCAAGGUGGAGACAGGUCGUGUCCAAGAGCGCCUCCCUCUGGUGGGAGGGCUGUCACUUUGUAACCUAUUGUGACAGGCUUGUUUGGCUGUUGGCUCAAAAUAGGGAUUCCGUUCCUUCCCACUUUGUUUCCCCUACCUGUGGGUGGCUCCCUGCAGUGAAAUAUGUAAACUAUUCAAGAGACUCUUAAGAGUUUUAAGCUGAACUCAGAACAAAUUACCUUUGCCAGGCCUGGUGGAUGGAGGUUUUUCAGUUUGCUUAGAUUGCCACGUGGAAAGGGGGCAAUCAGGAUAAACGGGCCCACAAAGCCUAUGGGUUGUGCUCCUGACCCAGUGCGACCGGGGACUUCCUCCUGGAGAACAGCAUGGUGGUUACCUAUCUCUUCGGGAGCCAUCAAUGCCCCAGUGUGAAAUGCAGUAACUAGGUUUAAGAAACGAAGCACAGCGCAAUUUCACAGCUCAGGGCANNNNNNCAAGACAGGCUUAUGGUGUGGCUACUUGGGGAGAUAUUAAGUGAAAGGUAAUUUUGAAAACCGCCGCCCGUCCCAGCCAAGAAAAGCUCAUUUAGCUGCAGCAGUGACGAGGGGGCUUGCCCGUGUGGGAUGGUGGUGGGAAGCAAUGGAUGAUAAGGUCCGACAGGGUGGAGGCUGUGCCUUCGUCCUCUCAGCAUUCCAGGACACAGGGAGCUCAAGAGUAACUGAAACACUUUGAUCCAUAAAAAAUCUUGACUCUUUCCAGAGCUCUUGGCUUGUAGCCAGUUGAGACAGUGGCCUGGAGAGAAUGAGAACGGGAUUUGCUGGGGGGGGGGGGGGGGNNNNNNNNNNNNNNNNNNNNAACCGCUGUCUCAGUGUGUUAUCACACGUUCUCCCGCUCGUGCCCAACCCUCACACACCCCCGCCCCAGAUCCGGGGAAGCCCCCGUCUAGUCCAACCCGGCAGGAAGAGCUUUCUGUGCCGGGCAGCCCUCCAGGACAGAGCAGUCAAGAUAUAGGACAAAGUACUUGGUAUGACAACAGAGACAAAAUGUCAAGAAUGGAUGAUUAAGCAUAAAAUUAUAUUAUUUGGUAUAUUUUAUAAACCUACAUAGAAAAACAAAUAUAGAAAAGUAGGCAGAACUUUUAAAGUUACCCAGAAUCACUGUAGCCUUUGAUAAUAUUUUUAAACAUAUUUCUUUAUCUCUUUUUCUAUGCAAUAUUUUUUUUCUAUAAUUGUGGCAUAUGGCACACAGCAUUUGUAUAUGACUUUGAAAGUCAUAAUUGUUUCCCUGUAAAGUUAUUAUAUACUCUCCAUAAAUACUUUUUAUGCCUGUAGUAUGACAGGGUCAUAGUUUAUGUACCCAUUAUUCUGUGAUGGCACCAUGAUAUUAUUUCCAGUUUCUCACCAUUUACUAAUAGUGCCAUAAAGAAUGUCCUUAGGCAUAUAGGAUUUUCUUUCUUCAAAAUUAUUUUCUUGGGAAAACUUUUAUGACCUAGGAUUGGACAAAGGGUUCUUAAAAAUGUUACCGACAUAGGGUGUGUAAAAGAAAAAAUUAGUAAUUCGGACCUCAGCAAUUAAAAAACUUGCUCGACCUAAGAUACCACCAAGAAAAUAGAGAGACAAGCUGUACAUGGGGAGAAAAUGUUUGCACAUCACAUUUCUGACAAAGGUCAUGUGUUCAGGAUAUAUUUUUUAAAAGAUCAAAACUCAACAAUAACAAACAACCCAUUAAAAAGUGGGCAAAAGACUUGAACAGAAUCUUUCCCAGAGGGGAUAGAGGAA